AGUAAGGUCAGCUAAAUAAGCUUUUGGGCCCAUACCCCAAA
This 41-nucleotide transfer RNA is filed under the name Coregonus sardinella (least cisco). Its description in RNAcentral is "partial tRNA-Met". Lineage: Eukaryota; Metazoa; Chordata; Actinopteri; Salmoniformes; Salmonidae. RNAcentral also lists the same sequence under 2 other names. The record is from RNAcentral.